Long non-coding RNA from Hippopotamus amphibius kiboko, 537 nucleotides. RefSeq lists it as uncharacterized. The record is from RefSeq and is a predicted model, not a curated record. Lineage: Eukaryota; Metazoa; Chordata; Mammalia; Artiodactyla; Hippopotamidae. The transcript is spliced from 4 exons.
AUUAAGGUCAUACGCAAAAGCUGCAAGAAGAAUUUUCUUAGAAAACUGGCUAUGGGACAUAUAUCAUGUUCCUAAAAGGUAUCAGCUAGAGUUGAUACUACCUGAUUUUCUAACCACCUGGGAAAUUCAAGCCAUUGAUGUUUCAAAUAAAGGUCUGUGUGUGGCCGAUGUGCUGCAGUUGCAGGUGUACAGAGAUGACUUCCUGGCUAUAGACAACAAUGUUACAAGAGUCCAUUGAAAGGGACAGUCUCCAAAAUGAAAACUGCGGGAACUUGACUCUCAACUCAGAAAUGAUGGUUGGAGCUCCAGCAGCCAUCUUGGACCAUGAGGUAACCCUGAAGAUGAAAGCUAGAAUGGUGGAACAAAAUGAUAAUAGCCCCUGCUUUUGAUGACAUGUGGAGCUGCCAUUCCAGCCUUGGCCUUCUUUUAUUUGUGAGAGAAAUAAAUGUUUAUCUCAUUUAGGCAAAAAUUAUUUUAGUUGUUUAUUAUACACAGCAAUACCUAAUUCUUUUUUUUUGUUUAAGAACUUUUAUUGAG